GAUGAAGAACGCAGCGAAAUGCGAUAAGUAGUGUGAAUUGCAGAAUUCAGUGAAUCAUCGAAUCUUUGAACGCACAUUGCGCCCCAUGGUAUUCCGUGGGGCAUGCCUGUUCGAGCGUCAUUAUCACCCCUCAAGCUCCGGCUUGGUGUUGAGGCCUGCUGUAAAGGCACCCUCUAAAAUCAGUGGCAGUGCUGUCAGGCUCUAAGCGUAGUAAUUCUCUCGCUACAGGGUCCCGGUGGACACUCGCCAGAACCCCCCCAUUUUUUAAUGAUUGACCUCGGAUUAGGUAGGGAUACCCGCUGAACUUAAGCAUAUCAAUAAGCGGAGGA
Molecule: unclassified non-coding RNA, 329 nt
Filed under: soil metagenome
Description: partial contains 5.8S ribosomal RNA, internal transcribed spacer 2, and large subunit ribosomal RNA
Rfam family: 5.8S ribosomal RNA (bases 1-120)
Source: RNAcentral